Molecule: ribosomal RNA, 489 nt
Filed under: uncultured bacterium
Lineage: Bacteria
Description: partial 16S ribosomal RNA
Rfam family: Bacterial small subunit ribosomal RNA
Source: RNAcentral
GACGAACGCUGGCGGCGUGCUUAACACAUGCAAGUCGAACGGUGAAGGGAUCAGCUUGCUGGUUCUGGAUGAGUGGCGAACGGGUGAGUAACACGUGAGUAACCUGCCCCCUUCUUCUGGAUAACCGCAUGAAAGUGUGGCUAAUACGGGAUAUUCUGGGUCUGUCGCAUGAUGGGUCUGGGAAAGAUAUUGUUUCGGUGGGGGAUGGGCUCGCGGCCUAUCAGCUUGUUGGUGGGGUGAUGGCCUACCAAGGCGGGGACGGGUAGCCGGCCGGAGAGGGGGGACGGUCACACUGUGACUGGCACCCGUCCCACACUCGUACGGGAGGCAGCACUGGGGGAUACUGCACACUGGGAGCAAGCCUGAUGCAGCGACGCCGGGUGAGGGAGGGAGGCCUUCGGGUUGUAAACCUCUUUCUCCAGUGAAGCAGGCCUGCUCCUUGUGGGUGGGUUGACGUUAGCUGGAUAAGAAGCGCCGGCUAACUACGUG